This 74-nucleotide transfer RNA is filed under the name Phycisphaera mikurensis. RNAcentral's name for it is "tRNA-Trp". It matches the Rfam family "tRNA". Rfam says of the family: Transfer RNA (tRNA) molecules are approximately 80 nucleotides in length. Lineage: Bacteria; Pseudomonadati; Planctomycetota; Phycisphaerae; Phycisphaerales; Phycisphaeraceae. RNAcentral also lists the same sequence under 1 other name. The record is from RNAcentral.
GCCGGUGUAGCUCAGUUGGUUAGAGCAGUGGAUUCCAAAUCCACAGGUCGCGGGUUCGAGUCCCUCCGCCGGUG